GCACUUUCCUGGCCCUUUUGUCCUCUGGUAUCCCACUUGUGGAGACACCAGAGACAAUUUAAAAGCAAACACAGCGCAAGCAUGUUAUUAAAUUUGCUUGCGCUGCGCAGAACAAAUUCGGGGCCUUUUUCUAAUGCCAGAGCUCUUCAGCGGGGCUCUGGGCAUUGAACCAACAUGCUCACUUUGAGAGGGGGCGUGCUUGUCAUUAGUGAUGACAAAACACAUACUCUCUGGCCCCGCCCCCUUCUUAGGGGGCCGCUCUGAUUGAAAAAUGCCCGGGCCUAAUUUUUUUCCCAGUCCGGCCCUGCUUUCAGUCAAAAUUAUGAAGAUGUGUGUGUGUAUCUGUGUGUGUUUAUUUGUGUUUAUAUGUACUUGUGUAUACUUGUACAUAUGCAGUAAGUGUGUGUGUGUGUGUGUAUGCUGGAUAUAGGCCUUCAUGCAUAUCCUGUAACUCUUGGAUGGGAAGUCAUGCAUUUGUUAUAUUAAUACUCCCCCCUUCUAGCACCAUCUUCUGCACUGUUUGCUUUUUUUUUUUUUUUUUCUCUCUCUUCCCCCUCACUCUCUGAUCUUUGCAUAAGAUAUUUACGACCCUCUGCAAGAAUGGUGUCUAUGUUCUAUCAAACAUGUCUUAUAUGCACUCAUGUCUCUUUAACAACUAUGUAACAACUCAACUUUGAAUUUGAUGUGUUGCAUUGUUCAGAAAUGCUUCAGACUUGAAAAAGGGAGGUUAUACAUGGAGCUUUCAUCAGAACAGGUAACAUGUAACACAUGUGCAGACAAGAGAAUAUAUACCCCAGAUCCCUCCAAAACAAACUGAACAAUCAAAUUAAAUUGACCCCUUAAGGACGGAGCCAAAUGUACACGUUGUGAACAAAACACAAUGUAAACAAAACCUGGCAUUUGCGCUACAUGUCUGUCCAACCGUAAUUCACCUCUUUCAUAGUAAAUGCCCCCACCCUUAUUAUAUAUCCAUUAUGGCCAAAGUUAGUGUUAGUAUUUGUGUGUGAAAAAUGCCAAAAACGCCAAUUUUGGCCAGUGUUUGUGAUUAAGUGGCUACUAAAAAAGACUGGACAUACCCUGUUUGCAAUACCUUGGGUUGUCUACUUUUGCAAAUGGUAUGCAAUCAUGGGGGUAAUUUUCAUAGGGUCUCAAAGGCAACGUAACCAAUCUGGCAAAUUUUAACCCCUUAAGGACUGGACCUUUUUUGCGAUGUUGUACAUUUGCGACCAGGCAUAUUUUUACACUUUUGUGGUGUUUGUGUUUGGCUGUAAUUUUCCGCUUUCUCAUUUACUGUUCCCAUACAAAUUAUAUAUUGUUUUUUUCAGGACAAAAGGGC
Non-coding RNA from Pelobates cultripes (western spadefoot toad), 1336 nucleotides. Lineage: Eukaryota; Metazoa; Chordata; Amphibia; Anura; Pelobatidae. The record is from the annotation of a GenBank genome assembly.